GACGAACGCUGGCGGCGUGCUUAACACGUGCAAGUCGAACGGAAAGGCCCUGCUUUUGUGGGGUGCUCGAGUGGCGAACGGGUGAGUAACACGUGAGUAACCUGCCCUUGACUUUGGGAUAACUUCAGGAAACUGGGGCUAAUACCGGAUAGGAGCUCCUGCUGCAUGGUGGGGGUUGGAAAGUUUCGGCGGUUGGGGAUGGACUCGCGGCUUAUCAGCUUGUUGGUGGGGUAGUGGCUUACCAAGGCUUUGACGGGUAGCCGGCCUGAGAGGGUGACCGGCCACAUUGGGACUGAGAUACGGCCCAGACUCCUACGGGAGGCAGCAGUGGGGAAUAUUGCACAAUGGGCGGAAGCCUGAUGCAGCAACGCCGCGUGCGGGAUGACGGCCUUCGGGUUGUAAACCGCUUUCGCCUGUGACGAAGCGUGAGUGACGGUAAUGGGUAAAGAAGCACCGGCUAACUACGUGCCAGCAGCCGCGGUGAUACGUAGGGUGCGAGCGUUGUCCGGAUUUAUUGGGCGUAAAGGGCUCGUAGGUGGUUGAUCGCGUCGGAAGUGUAAUCUUGGGGCUUAACCCUGAGCGUGCUUUCGAUACGGGUUGACUUGAGGAAGGUAGGGGAGAAUGGAAUUCCUGGUGGAGCGGUGGAAUGCGCAGAUAUCAGGAGGAACACCAGUGGCGAAGGCGGUUCUCUGGGCCUUUCCUGACGCUGAGGAGCGAAAGCGUGGGGAGCGAACAGGCUUAGAUACCCUGGUAGUCCACGCUGUAAACGGUGGGUACUAGGUGUGGGGUCCAUUCCACGGGUUCCGUGCCGUAGCUAACGCUUUAAGUACCCCGCCUGGGGAGUACGGCCGCAAGGCUAAAACUCAAAGGAAUUGACGGGGCCCCGCACAAGCGGCGGAGCAUGCGGAUUAAUUCGAUGCAACGCGUAGAACCUUACCUGGGUUUGACAUGGAUCGGGAGUGCUCAGAGAUGGGUGUGCCUCUUUUGGGGUCGGUUCACAGGUGGUGCAUGCCUGUCGUCAGCUCGUGUCGUGAGAUGUUGGGUUAAGUCCCGCAACGAGCGCAACCCUUGUUCACUGUUGCCAGCACGUUAUGGUGGGGACUCAGUGGAGACCGCCGGGGUCAACUCGGAGGAAGGUGGGGAUGACGUCAAGUCAUCAUGCCCCUUAUGUCCAGGGCUUCACGCAUGCUACAAUGGCUGGUACAGAGAGUGGCGAGCCUGUGAGGGUGAGCGAAUCUCGGAAAGCCGGUCUCAGUUCGGAUUGGGGUCUGCAACUCGACCUCAUGAAGUCGGAGUCGCUAGUAAUCGCAGAUCAGCAACGCUGCGGUGAAUAAAUUCCCGGG
RNAcentral lists this ribosomal RNA (1343 nucleotides) under uncultured bacterium. RNAcentral's name for it is "16S ribosomal RNA". It matches the Rfam family "Bacterial small subunit ribosomal RNA", at positions 28 to 1378 of the family's 1533-position model. The record is from RNAcentral.